Symphalangus syndactylus (siamang) is the source of this 2502-nucleotide long non-coding RNA. RefSeq lists it as uncharacterized. The record is from RefSeq and is a predicted model, not a curated record. Lineage: Eukaryota; Metazoa; Chordata; Mammalia; Primates; Hylobatidae.
CUCAUUUUUCUCUUGCUGCUGCAAUGUAAGAAGUGCCUUUCACCUCCUGCCGUGAUUCUGAGGCCUCCCCAGCCAUGUGGAACUGAACUCCUGAGAACUGGGAAAUGACUGUUUAAUGAAAUAAGAGAGAAGUGACAAUGAGACUGCCCUGUCCAGAGACUCCCAAAUAAAGAAGGAGUCUCUGUAAUGACAUCCCCUGUGACAUUCCUGAUACACCACCUGAAAGGAGAGAAGAUGGUAGUCUGAAAGGGACAGAAUGAGAGAGGGAGCUGGAGAAAGAAAUGAAUAAACACGAAUGCAUCUGGAGAAUGAGGCGUCUUGGAAUCUGGAAAGUGAGGCAUCGUGGAAGAGAGAUGAAGGUUCAAGCUCCAAGAUGUCCAGAAGCAAAUGCAAAGAGGAAGUACUGAAAUGGAUAUGUGCGAAACUCAUCAAGAUUCUCAUUUGGCUACAGAAAAUAUUUGGCGAGUUGGAAGUUUAGUUGUGUUAAUGAUAUGCUACACCUUCUACACCUGUAAUGUGCCAAAAAUAACUGAACACUUUACAUUUCUCUUUAAAUCCAGUAAUAAUCCAUUAAAGAGAUAAAGGUGCCAACGUGCAGGCAAGUAAACCACAUUGCCAAGUAUGCAAGCUAAUACAUUCCCCAGGAUGGAUUUAGAGUUUUCUAUUUCAAGCAAAAUUUACAGAAAGUUAAAUGCACAAAUCUUCAGUGCACAACUACACGAGAUUAGCAACUAUAUACAUCCAUGUAAACAACACUAUCACGAUGAAGAACAUUUUUAUCACCCAAGAAAUUACCUAAUGUCCCCUUCCAGUCAAUCCACUCACCCCAGGAAACAACUAUGGUUCUGAUUUUUAUCACUAGGUAUUAGAACUUCACAUCUUAGGAAAUCGUAUAGUGCUUUCUCAUUUGCUUCUUGCUAGUUUAAGCAGUAUCAUUUUUUUGAAAUUCAUUCAUAUCGUUCCAUGUCAUCAGUAAUUUGUUACCUUGAUGUAGCUGAGGAGUGUUCCACUAUAUGAAUAUACCACAACUUAUGUACCCAUUGUACUCUUGACAUUGGCUAUUGUUAGUAAAGCCUUUGGCUAUUUACUAGUAAAGCUGCUAUAAACAUGCUCAAGUCUUGUUGUAGAAACAUUUUCAUUUCUCAUAGGUAAAUAGUCAGGGAUGGAAUUUCUGAGUCACAACAGAGGUAUAUGUUUAACUUUAUGAAAAUUAUCAAGCUGUUUUCCAAACUGGAUGCUCCAUUACCUACUUCUCUGAGUAAGAUCUAGGAGUUCCACUUACUCCACAUCCUCACCAACAUUUGUUGUUGCCACAACGAAGUGGUGCAAUAGUUUAUUUUUAUUUUUGUUUACAUUUCUCUGAUGACUAAUGAUAUCAAGCACAUUUUCAUGUGCAAUUCACCAUUUUUUUUAAAUGUCCAAAACUUUCAUUCGGUUGUAAAAAAAAAACAGCAGUAUCUUUUUAUUAAUGGUUGGCUCUUGUUCUGGGUGAAGUUCAUCAUGGAAUAUAUAUUGCUAAUAUUUUUCCCACAUUACAGCUAAACUUUUAAUUUUCUUUUGAUGAGCAGAGAAUUUUUGUUGUUUUAUUUUGAUGAAAUCCAAUUUAUUGCUUUUCUGCAGCUAGUGUUUUUUCUUUCAUCUCUAUAAAAUCUUGCCUAGCUUAAGAUCAUAAUAUAGUCUUCUGUGAUUUUUCUUCACAAAACCUUUACAGCUUUAGCUUUUAUAAUUGGAUCUAUAAUUUAUCUACAUUAAUUUUGUGAAUAUUGUGAAUUGUGGCUAAGAUUCAUUAUUUCCAUGGUUAUCCAGUUAUUCCAGCACUGUUUGUUCAAAAAGACUUUCCAUUGAAGUGUCUUUGAGCUUUUAUUGAAAUUAACUGACUAUGUGUGUACUGAUUUAUUUCUCAGCUUUACUUUGUCCCAGUGAUCAGCUUGUAUACCCUUAUGCUAAUGCAAUACUAUCUUGACUACUGUGGCUUGCUGCAGGUCUUGAUAUCAAGUAACAUAAUUUACCUGAAUUUGUUCUUUUUCAAGAUAGCUUUGGAAGUUCUUUCUUGUAUUUUCAUAUAAAUUUUAGAAUAAAGUUGCCUAUUUCCACCAAAAAAAUGCAAAUUUCAUUUAGUUUGUAAUUAGGUCUAAUCAAACCAUAUUAAAUCUUCCAGUUCAUUAACAUGUUAUCUAUCUUCAUAAACUUAGGUCUUCUUUAAAUCUCUGAGGAAUAUGUUAGAAUGUUUAGUAGAGUUUCUGUAUCUUUUUGGGUAGUGCAAAGGGGGGCAUAAAGAGAGAAUGGUUAAUGGGUACAAAAAUACAGUUAAAAAGAAUAAAAUCUAGCAUUCAGUAGUAAAAUAGCACAACUAUAGUUGAUAAUUUAUGGUAUAUUUCAAAAUAACUAAAAGGGUGGAAUUGAAAUGUUCCUAACACAAAGAAAUGGUAAAUGUUUGAGGUGAUGCCUACCCUAAUUUGAUCAUUAUACAUUGUAUGCUUGUAUCAAAAUAUCACAUGUACC